AGGAUGCUGGAGUAAAGGUUUCAUACGACCCGUCUUGAAACACGGACCAAGGAGUCUAACAUGCCUGCGAGUGUUUGGGUGGUCAAACCCGGGCGCGCAAUGAAAGUGAGGCCUUUUUUGGCCAGGGUGGGAGCUUUGGCGCACCAUCGUCCGACCAUGAUCUUCUGUGAAAGGUUUGAGACAGAGCACGCAUGCUGGGACCCGAAAGAUGGUGAACUAUGCCUGAGUAGGGUGAAGCCAGAGGAAACUCUGGUGGAGGCUCGUAGCGGUGCUGACGUGCAAAUCGCUCGUCGAACUUGGGUAUAGGGGCGAAAGACUAAUCGAACCAUCUAGUAGCUGGUUCCCUCCGAAGUUUCCCGCAGGAUAGCUGAAACUUGUACGAACAGUUUGAUCAGGUAAAGAAAUGAUUCGGGUAACGGUUCGCGAAACGCGGGCCGACCAGUCUCAAACUUUAAAUAGGUCAGAUCUCCGCGUUGCUUGAGUGAACGCGCGAGCCAUUUCGAAUGGAGAGUUUUUAGUGGGCCAUUUUUGGUAAGCAGAACUGGCGAUGCGGGAUGAACCGAAAGCCGGGUUAAGGUGCCCAAGUGCACGCUCAUUCAGACCCCAUAAAAGGUGUUGAUUCAUUUAGACAGCAGGACGGUGGCCAUGGAAGUCGGAAUCCGCUAAGGAGUGUGUAACAACUCACGGGCCGAAUGCACCAGCCCUGAAAAUGGAUGACGCUCAGCGAGGUGCUUAUACUGCGCCCUUGCCGCACGUGAUAGUAGCAUAGGUGGCAAGGUGUAGGAGGAGUGUGGCGGUGCACGCCGAAGCGCAGCGCGUGAGCGCGCGUCGAGUCGCCGCUAGUACAGAUCUUGGCUGAAGUAGCAAAUACUCAAGAGAGACGUACCUUGAGGGUUGAAGUGGAGAAGGGUUCCGCGAGAACAUCACUUGGUCGCGGGUGAGUCGGUCCUAAGGCGCAGGCGAACGCUGUUCAACGUGCGGGCCAUUCGUCGCGCGUGCCGCCGUGCACGCGCGCGCCGAACCCGCCGCGCGCCGAAAGGGAAGGCGGUUAACAUUCCGCCACCGCGUCACGGAGGUUCAUUGGCGGCGACGCAAGAGAACCCCGAGACGUCGCUCGCAGCCCCGGGGAGAGUUUUCUUUUCUUCUUAACGACCAUCACCACCACGGCGCGCGCCGUGCGCCAGCCGCGUUCACGCGCGGCGGCGCGGCGCGCGAGGAGCCGCGCGGAAUCGCAUUGUGCGGAGAAGCGCGGCGACGGUCGGCAGAGCGGCGCAGCCUUCGCGCCGUCCGGUGCGCUGCGAACGGCCCUUGAAAAUCGGGGGGAACGGUACCACCGGCGCCUCGCGCGCCGGCAAGCUUCCACACGGCCGUACCCAUAUCCGCAACAGGUCUCCAAGGUUCGCAGCCUCUAACCGAUAGAGCAAAGUAGGCAAGGGAAGUCGGCAAAUUGGUUCCGUAACUUUGGGAAAAGGAAUGGCUCUGAAGGCUGAGCCGGCGCGCGCGCCGUGCGCCGCCAGCGCUCGCGCGCGCGUCGCUCGCUACGGAGGCUGCUGCGCCGUUCACGCGGCACGGCGGCUUCUGCGGCGGCGACCGCGCGUUGCUGGCGUGCGCGCGGUGGCCGUGUGCUUGCACGCGGUGGCGCGUCGGCGUCUAACAGCCAGUUCAGAACUGUCGCGGACAAGGGGAAUCCGACUGUUUAAUUAAAACAAAGCAAAACGAGGGCCGGCAAGCGGUGUUGACGUUUUGUGAUUUCUGCCCAGUGCUCUGAAUGUCAAGGUGAAGAGAUUCGCUCAAGCGCGGGUAAACGGCGGGAGUAACUAUGACUCUCUUAAGGUAGCCAAAUGCCUCGUCAUCUAAUUAGUGACGCGCAUGAAUGGAUUAACGAGAUUCCCACUGUCCCUGUCUACGAUCUAGCGAAACAGCAGCCAAGGGAACGGACUUGGCAUAGACAGCGGGGAAAGAAGACCCUGUUGAGCUUGACUCUAGCCUGAAUUUGUGAAAUGAAUCGUGGGGCGUAGCAUAUGGGGGAGGGCGACCGACUUUGAAAUACCCCAACCCGCGAUUUCAUCUUACUUACUUGAUUACGUGAC
This 2090-nucleotide ribosomal RNA is filed under the name Madagascaria erythrocladioides. RNAcentral describes it as "partial Eukaryotic large subunit ribosomal RNA". It matches the Rfam family "Eukaryotic large subunit ribosomal RNA", at positions 620 to 2537 of the family's 3401-position model. The record is from RNAcentral. Lineage: Eukaryota; Rhodophyta; Compsopogonophyceae; Erythropeltidales; Erythrotrichiaceae.